Molecule: long non-coding RNA, 980 nt
Organism: Mirounga angustirostris (Northern elephant seal)
Lineage: Eukaryota; Metazoa; Chordata; Mammalia; Carnivora; Phocidae
Exons: 3
Source: RefSeq, a predicted model, not a curated record
CCAACCGCUAAAACGAAAGCCAAUAUGCUCUUUUUUGUCUACCACCCGCUCAAAUGGAAGGGAGAGGGGUCAACUGAGAAGAGUGCAGGCUUGCGGAGCUUUGAAGAAUUCCAUCUCAAAAUGCAGAUUCCCCUGGGAGAGGCCUCUUCCAGUCUCAAGGAGAACAGAGGUGGCAAGUGUAUGGCUCUGCACUCUGCAGCUGCAUUUGUAAACACGGCAUUUGGAAGGAAAAAAAUCCUGGCCCAGAGCCGCCUUUUUCCCUGAUGCCCUGAGAACUGUUGCAGGUCCUUUCCCAAAGCUACAUCUGUGAAAGGCCGAACUGGCAGGAACAAUUCUCAAUGCACAAGUGUCUGGGAUGCCAGGCAGAUGAAGAGCUCAGGCGAGCAGAGAGAAAAGCCCCAGGCCCCUCCCUCUCUCAACAGGAACUUCAAGGGUGCAGACAUCGGAGCCUAAGUUUUAGACCACACGUAUGUUUUCACUCUGUCUUAGGAUGUUGAGAUAUGUUAAUAUCGACAAAAGGACAAAUCAGUAAAGUAACAAAUUGGCAUUCUGUUCUAUGAAUUGGGAUAUAAGCAUUUUGGCUAGAAGACCAUUUCCUGAGUUUCAGCUCCUCAGACCUGCAGGAACCUGGCACAGAAGGGAGAGACUUCAGGCUAUCCUUCAACCACCAUCUCUAGCUACAAGUCCAGCUAACAGAGUCACUAGGGAGCCAGAACCAAGGAAAUCAGAACAAGCUUUAAGAAGCAAGAAAACUGGGGCGCCUGGGUGGCUCAGUCAUUAAGCGUCUGCCUUUGGCUCGGGUCCUGAUCCCAGGGUCCUGGGAUCGAGCCCCGCAUCGGGCUCCCUGCUCCGUGGGAAGCCUGCUUCUCCCUCUCCCACUCCCCCUGCUUGUGUUCCCUCUCUCGCUGUAUCUCUCUCUGUCAAAUAAACAAAAUCUUUAAAAAAAAAAAAAAAAGAAGAAGCAAGAAAACCCCAAGAAA